AAAGCUUAGGCAAUGUACUUUGUACAUUGGGUAGGGGAGCGUUGUAUACGCGGCGAAACAGUAGCGCAAGCGGCUGUGGAGUGUAUAGAAGUGAGAAUGCCGGAAUGAGUAGCGCGAAUGCAGUGAGAAUCUGCAUGGCCGAAAGCCUCAGGUUUUUGGAGGAAGGUUCGUCCGCUCCAAGCUAGUCGGGAGCUAAGGUGAGGCCGAGAGGCGUAGCCGAUGCACAGACGGUAGAGAUUCCGUCACCACCAAAAGAGUUAAGCACAGGGACACAUUUGAAGUCUCAGAGCCGGGUGUUGGUUCCGGUAGAGAUCGAGGGAAGUUAGUACCGAAGUCUGAGAUGGAAGAUGGCGAGAAAAGCUGUGUGGAUUUCUGAGGUGCCCGUACCGCAAACCGACACAGGUAGGUAGGAAGAGGAUUCUAAGGCCAACGGGAGAAGGGUUGUUAAGGAACUCGGCAAAUUGACCCCGUAACUUCGGGAGAAGGGGUGCUCCAGAGAUGGAGCCGCAGAGAAUCGGCCCAAGCAACUGUUUACCAAAAACACAGGUUUGUGCUAAAUCGAAAGAUGACGUAUACGAGCUGACGCCUGCCCGGUGCUGGAAGGUUAAGAGGAGAUGUGCAAGCAUUGAAUCGAAGCCCCAGUGAACGGCGGCCGUAACUACAACGGUCCUAAGGUAGCGAAAUUCCUUGUCAGGUAAGUUCUGACCCGCAUGAAAGGCGUAAUGAUUUGGGCACUGUCUCAACAGCCCGCCCGGCGAAAUUGUAGUACCGGUGAAGAUGCCGGUUACCCGCGACAAGACGGAAAGACCCCAUGGAGCUUUACUGUAGCCUAAUAUUGGGUUUCGAUGUUGCAUGCACAGGAUAGAUGGGACUCUGGGAAACCAGUGCUUUGGCGCUGGCGGAGAGGCCGUUGGGAUACCAUCCUUGCGAUAUUGGAAUUCUAACCUGCGGCUCUGAAUCGAGUCGGGGGACAUUGUUAGGUGGGCAGUUUGACUGGGGCGGUCGCCUCCUAAAAAGUAACGGAGGCGUUCAAAGGUUCGCUCAGCUUGAACGGAAAUCAAGCAAAAGAGUGCAAACGCAGAAGCGAGCCUAACUGCGAGACUGACGGGUCGAGCAGUAACGAAAGUUGGAGUUAGUGAUCCGGUGGUAUGUGAGUGGAAAUGCCAUCGCUCAACGGAUAAAAGUUACCCUGGGGAUAACAGGCUGAUCUCCCCCAAGAGUCCACAUCGACGGGGAGGUUUGGCACCUCGAUGUCGGCUCAUCGCAUCCUGGGGCUGUAUUCGGUCCCAAGGGUUUGGCUGUUCGCCAAUUAAAGCGGUACGCGAGCUGGGUUCAGAACGUCGUGAGACAGUUCGGUCCCUAUCUGUCGUGGGCGCAGGAUAUUUGAUGGGAGCUGUCCCUAGUACGAGAGGACCGGGACGGACGUACCUCUGGCGCACCAGUUGUUCUGCCAAGAGCAUAGCUGGGCAACUACGUACGGAUCGGAUAAACGCUGAAAGCAUCUAAGCGUGAAGCCGACCCAAAGAUAAGAUAUCCCACUGUUUCAAACAGGUAAGAUCCCUUGAAGACUACAAGGUUGAUAGGCACGAUGUGUAAGUGGAGUGAUCCAUUCAGCAAGCGUGUACUAAUAGAUCGAGGGCUUGACU
Molecule: ribosomal RNA, 1646 nt
Filed under: metagenome
Description: bacterial LSU rRNA
Rfam family: Bacterial large subunit ribosomal RNA
Source: RNAcentral